AGUGAACGCUGGCGGCGUGCCUAAUACAUGCAAGUCGAACGGAAUUUAAAAGAGCUUGCUCUUUUAAAUUUAGUGGCGCACGGGUGAGUAAUAUAUAGCUAAUCUGCCCCUUGCUGGAGGACAACAGUUAGAAAUGACUGCUAAUACUCCAUACUCCUUUUUACCAUAAGAUAAAUCGGGAAAGAAUUUCGGCAAGGGAUGAGACUAUAUCGUAUCAGCUAGUCGGUGGGGUAACGGCCUACCGAGGCUAUGACGCGUAACUGGUCUGAGAGGAUGAUCAGUCACAUUGGAACUGAGACACGGUCCAAACUCCUACGGGAGGCAGCAGUAGGGAAUAUUGCGCAAUGGGGGAAACCCUGACGCAGCAACGCCGCGUGGAGGAUGACACUUUUCGGAGCGUAAACUCCUUUUGUUAGGGAAGAAUAAUGACGGUACCUAACGAAUAAGCACCGGU
Molecule: ribosomal RNA, 454 nt
Filed under: Campylobacter gracilis
Lineage: Bacteria; Pseudomonadati; Campylobacterota; Epsilonproteobacteria; Campylobacterales; Campylobacteraceae
Description: bacterial SSU rRNA
Rfam family: Bacterial small subunit ribosomal RNA
Source: RNAcentral